Felis catus (domestic cat) is the source of this 85-nucleotide non-coding RNA. Lineage: Eukaryota; Metazoa; Chordata; Mammalia; Carnivora; Felidae. The record is from Rfam.
GCCUGGGUGGCUCAGUCGGUUGAGCGUCCAACUUCAACUCAGGUCAUGAUCUCGCAGUUCGUGGGUUCGAGCCCCGCGUCGGGCU